GACGAACGCUGGCGGCGUGCUUAACACAUGCGAGUCGAACGAAGAGCGAGGGAAGCUUGCUUCUAUCAAUCUUAGUGGCGCACGGGUGAGUAACGCGUAAUCAACCUGCCCUUCAGAGGGGGACAACAGUUGGAAACGACUGCUAAUACCGCAUACGAUCUAACCGCGGCAUCGAGGAUAGAUGAAAGGUGGCCUCUACAUGUAAGCUAUCACUGAAGGAGGGGAUUGCGUCGGAUUAGCUAGUUGGAGGGGUACGGGCCGCCAAGGGGAUGAUCCGUUAGCGGUCUGGGGAGGUGGACGGCCACAUUGGGACUGAGACACGGCCCAGACUCCUUCGGGGGGCAGCAGUGGGGAAACUUCCGCAAUGGACGAAAGUCUGACGGCGCCACGCCGCGGGAGGUAUGACGGCCUUCGGGUUGUAAAGCUCUGUUAAUCGGGACGAAAGGCCUUCUUGCGAAUAGUUAGAAGGAUUGACGGUACCGGAAGAGAAAGCCACGGCUAACUACGUG
Molecule: ribosomal RNA, 509 nt
Filed under: uncultured bacterium
Lineage: Bacteria
Description: partial 16S ribosomal RNA
Rfam family: Bacterial small subunit ribosomal RNA
Source: RNAcentral